This 493-nucleotide ribosomal RNA is filed under the name uncultured bacterium. Its description in RNAcentral is "bacterial SSU rRNA". It matches the Rfam family "Bacterial small subunit ribosomal RNA", at positions 34 to 507 of the family's 1533-position model. The record is from RNAcentral.
CGCUGGCGGCGUGCCUAAUACAUGCAAGUCGAGCGGAAUGAUGAAGAAGCUUGCUUCUUCUGAUUUUAGCGGCGGACGGGUGAGUAACACGUGGGCAACUACCUUGUAGAUUGGGAUAACUCCGGGAAACCGGGGCUAAUACCGAAUAAUCCAUUUUGCUUCAUGGCGAGAUGUUGAAAGACGGUUUCGGCUGUCACUACAAGAUGGGCCCGCGGCGCAUUAGCUAGUUGGUAGGGUAAUGGCCUACCAAGGCGACGAUGCGUAGCCGACCUGAGAGGGUGAUCGGCCACACUGGGACUGAGACACGGCCCAGACUCCUACGGGAGGCAGCAGUAGGGAAUCUUCCACAAUGGACGAAAGUCUGAUGGAGCAACGCCGCGUGAGUGAAGAAGGUUUUCGGAUCGUAAAACUCUGUUGUAAGGGAAGAACACGUACGAGAGUAACUGCUCGUACCUUGACGGUACCUUAUUAGAAAGCCACGGCUAACUACGUG